RNAcentral lists this ribosomal RNA (73 nucleotides) under Caerostris extrusa. Lineage: Eukaryota; Metazoa; Arthropoda; Arachnida; Araneae; Araneidae. The record is from RNAcentral.
CACCGAAGUCAAGCAUCAUUGGGCGUGGUCAGUACUUAGGUGGGUGACCACCUGGGAGCACCGCGUGCCGUUA